AGCAGGCAUGCGCCGGGUAAACUCUUGGUCGUCCGAUGGACGGCAGUCCCUAAUGGGACGGGAUCCUAGAGCCGGGGGCCUGCUUAUUU
This 89-nucleotide non-coding RNA is filed under the name unclassified sequences. RNAcentral's name for it is "DUF3800-VII RNA". It matches the Rfam family "DUF3800-VII RNA". The record is from Rfam by way of RNAcentral.